AGCUAAGAAGGUACUUUUUUUAACUCACCUUUAAAGUCCUCUGCUGAUCACUUUCUAAAAUGAAAGUUGUACCUCAACAGUUGGUGUUUCAUACCAAACACACGGUGAAAACUCUCCACUGUUGGUCGUGUUUCUGUCUCUGUUAUUGCACAGUCAGCAGAAACUUGGCCUUCUCUUUGAAUGCCAACAUAUGGUCCAGCAGCAGGCCUGUCCGUGUUCCUUUGUUGGCUGCCGUCAUGUGUGUGUCCCUGUUCGUGUGUCCAUGCAUAUGUGUCCUGUCCUCUAUCAGUGUUUCCUCGUUGUCAGCAUCCUCCAGUCAGCCUGUGUCUGCCCCUGCUGGCAGCUGCAGGUGUUGGAGGCAGCCUGGACCACAUUCAGCACACACACACACACACACACACACACACACACACACACACACACACACCUCCUGGUCCAUGCACCAUCCAUCUAAUCCCAUCCCUGACCUCCUUUUCCACACCUCCCUCCUCCAUGAACAGCACAGUCCUGUCAACCAGCCUGGUCCACGGCCCGUCACAGCUUUGACCCCCAGCUUCCAGGGACCAGUGUCGUCACCCGCCCCCUCUGACUGCAGCCCUCUGCCAGGCAGCAUGCUUAGCAAGGGCAGGGCGAGGCUCAGCCAGGAGGCUGGAUAACAACUUUAGUCACAGGGAAGGAGGCACGGCACAGGCUGGUGACCCCGACACCGGGGUAGAAUCAGCGUCUGGUUCUCGCGGUGGAACCUCAGCAGCUGUUUAGCUGUCACUCCUCAGCCGUCAGGGUUUAGUUAAAGCUGACAGGGCCUGUCACUCUGAGUGGAGAGGAAGAUCAAGAUCCCAGCAGAGCCACAGCUCCACGUCCUUUAUAUUUAUUAGCAGGGAUAAUUGACUGGAUAUGAAGGAGAAGCAGUGAUGGAGACGCACACAUAUGUUCGUGCACAUGUGUUGGUGUCAUGUUGUAUUUCUCUCCGUGUGACUUUGCUCAGAGGGGAAACCGUCUGGAGAAGAUUGAAGGCUUGGAGAAUCUGAGGAGUCUGCAGUCUCUUGAUUUGUCUCUGAAUCGCAUCAGGAGCCUCGCUGGUCUCCAGAACCUCAGUCUGCUGGGCUCCCUCAACCUGGAGAAAAACCUGAUCAGUGAAAUUCAGGAGUGUAAACACAUCCACGACCUUUGUCUGCUGAGGGACAUGAAUCUGCUGCAGAACCCUGUGCAGGAGCAAAAGGACUACAGACUGUCAGUGAUUUUUCUCCUGCAGCAUCUGACCACGCUGGACCAGCAGGAGGUCACGGCGGAGGAGAAGGUGUCAUCAGUGAACAAAUACGACCCCCCUAUGGACGUGGUGGCUGCCACUAAUCACAUGACCCACCUGGUGUAUCAGCUGAUGCAGCCUCAGGUGCUGUACGACAGUACUUUUCCCAGUGCAGACUGUCCAUACCCAAUGCUGGUGCUGACAGGUCCACAGGGAUGUGGUAAAAGAGAACUGGCCCACAGACUGUGUCAGGAUCUACAUGAGUACUUUGGAUACGGAAUUUGUCACACGACAAGAGGGCCGUACUUUGGUGAGGAAAAUGGAAUCGAUUACCAUUUUGUCAGCGAGGAAGACUUCGAGAACAUGGUCCUCAUGGGUAAGUUCAUCCAGACCAUGCAGUACGGGGGCCAUCGCUUCGGUCUGACCAGAGACGCCGUCGAGGAAGUGGCCAAAGAAGGACUUGCCUGUUGUCUGCACAUGGAGCUGGAGGGUGUGUUAAGUCUGAAGAACAGCUACUUUGAGCCCAGGUACAUCCUCAUCAUACCGACCAGUGUGGAGAAGUACAUCAGCAACCUGAACGACCGCGACCUCUACACGCAGGCCCAGAUCGACCGGGCGGUGUCGCGUAUACAGCUCUACGCCAACACCUGCAGGCAGAGGCCAGGAUUCUUUGAUAAUGUCAUUCCCAGUGAUGACUGGAAAGAAAGUUACCCCGCACUCAAGAAGGUUGUGACAGGAUACCUGUUUGCUGAGGAACGUGAUGAUCAAACCAGUAGCACCUUCUCAGGUCUGAAACACUUGUCUUUGUCUGCGGGGCAAACAGGAACAUCACUCGACCCCUCAGAUCCUGCUUACAGGAACUACUUAGCCAAAAUCCAGGCAGAGCUCAGCCUGCAGAAAAACCCCAACGAGCUGGCUUCCAUCAGGAGAAGAGAGCAGCUGGUGAGGGAGGCUGUGCUGGGGAAGAGUCCAGGGGUCUUCAGCCAGCCUGCAAAAAGGCCCAACAUAAGUGUUCAACCCAGCGCUCCUCUCCAGAGCUUGAUUACAAGUGGCCAAUCACAUCCGGACUCUCCUCCACAAGCAGAAGAAAUCCCACCGCAGACGGCUGAUCCCAGGAUUCCUGUUAGUCAGAAAAGCAGUGGAGUUGAAGAACAUCGAGCCUGCUCAGCUGUGACUGCUGCGACCUCAGCUCGAGGCAUAGUGAAGGCUCUGGACAUCGCUGCCAUGGGAAGUGCCCUGGACACUUUGAAAGAAAAGCUGGAGAACAGCAAAUCUCCUGGUGCUGCAGAUGCUGAAAGAGAACAAAAACCAGAAACAGGACAGGAGCAGCGGGCUCCAGUCACGUCUCCGUCCUCCAGGCGACGUCCUGGCUCGGAAACUAAGCCCAUCCUUCCCCCGAUUCCCACUGGACGGAAAACACCAGCACGGCCACGUUCAUGUCCUUCAAGGCCUUCCUCCACAACAGCAGAAGAAGCAGAAGCAGAAGCAGAAGAAGUAGAAGUAGAAGUAGAAGUAGAAGUAGCAGAAGAAGAAGAGGAAGUAGAAAAAGAUGAUGAAGCAGACGUGGAAGAAGAGUCAGCCAGAGAAGAAACCUGAAGUCAUUUGUUUUAAAAACAAUCUUUACAAACAUUUAAAAGACCUAGUAGAUAUUUCAUACUUUCAUAAACUUUCAUAAAGGUAUGACUAAUAAAUUAAUUUAAUAAAUGCUUGCUCCAUCAAUAUUUUCUUUUAGUUUUGCUACAGUCGUAGUGAGGACAUUAGUAAAAGUCAUUGCUACAUAAAAAUGAGGGAAAAGUUCAUUAUUUUUAUAUCUGCAAGUAGGAAAAUCUGUAAUCUGUAAAAUAUAUGAACAUUUUAAUGGUAAAGUAUCUCCAAUAAGUACUGAAGUGUUUGAGGAAACAUGCUGAGUUGCUGAGUAUUCUGUUCUCUUUAUUCAUUCUCUCUGUCUUGGUCGCGCUACUUCCAACAACUUUUGUUGUUGUUUCACAUUUCAGACUCGCGUUGCCAGGUUAAAUAAAUGCUGCCUUAAAUUCACAGAACACUAGAAGCUUAAAUGGAAAACGAUGACGUAGUUUCUUUAACCAAUCAUAUUUGGAGAUGGUAUCAUACUGGCAUAUGAAGGCCUUCUAUCAGUCCCGCUGUUACGUUAGCGAUUUGAGUGAUUUGAUUGGAUGGUGAAAGAACUAUAUGUCGCGACUUGUCCGUUCGAUAAUAAAGUUUUCUCUGCCUCCACUACUUCUAUCCAGCGGACAUUUUCAGCCUAAAGCGAAUUUAAACCCAUGCCGUAAUAUCGACUUUAUUCAUUAGAAUAGUUUACGAUAGAAAAUCCGUGUAACUCACGGAUAAUCUGUACACCAGAGUAAUUGAACUCAUCGUGAGGAAAGAGAGGAGGAUGGAAUGUGUGUACAACUUAUCACACGUCUUGGUGAGUGAUUUUUUUUCAACAGUAAUGUAAUUGAAAUAUGUCUUUAUUGAUGUUUUUGAUGUACAUUAUGUCCCAACUGUGGCUGACGUGUGCUUCGAGGGGUUGUUCUGCGACGGCUGGCCCAUUAAAGGUGCACGGUCGCCGCCCCUUUCCUGCUAUUUUUUUAAUGAAGAAUAAUCACAUUUGAGUAUGAGUGUGUUUUAAAUUUACCAUAACAUGUCAUAUUUAAAAUAUCAAUAUCAUUUUGGGGGAGAAUAGCUUUCGGCUCGUCUUGCUCCCAACAUCUUAGGAAAUUUUGGGGAGCUAAUACAGUUUCCGGUGUGAGCAGCAGCGCAGCCAAUUGCUGACUUGUUGCUGACGUGAGCGAUGCGCAUAGAAGCAAAAAUGUAUCCAAUCAGCGUCGGUGAAUCUUAUUACUUAUUGGCGACUAAUUUGUCGCGUAUCUAUGACGAAUUGUUAUGUGCGCCGUUUCAUUUGCUGAGCUGUCGCCUCGUCACAAGAGGUCACGGGUAAAUAACUCAACAGCUUUGUGUGUAUAAAUGUGUAAACAUGAUUCUGUAGUUUGUUUACGUGUUCACUCUCAGAUGUAAAACUUGUGUUUAUGCAAUAAUAACGUACACCGUACAGUUUUCCUAUUUGUGUUAAAUUGUAUGGGGAUAGUUACUGAAACUGGCUCAAUAUGGUUCAGCCAGAUCUAGAAUAUUUUUCACCAGCAGCCCCUGGGUAUGUUGCUUCUGUAAUGGUGUUAUUAUGGCUACAUGAGUUAUCUAGGAUAUAACUCAAAAAAAACAAUGCAAACGGUGAAAUCCUCCACCAUAAAAAAGCAAAUGUACGCCCCAAUUUGUAACCCAGAUGUAUAGGAUUUUAUUGUGUAAUAUCAAAUUUGACAUAAUAUACAGGACCAAAAAAAUUCCCCCAUACAUCUCAUAAUGACAGUUCCUGGUUUUAAUAAUGGAGGUCAGAGUCAAAUAAAUACCCUUAAUCACAUGUGACUGUCAGACUUAGCCAUGUUUACACGAUGAUACAGCUCUGGAUCCCAGAAAAGUUUAGCUGCACAAAAAAUUACUAAAUUGCAGUUAUGUAAGUGAAUGUAACUUUGU
RNA transcript from Cynoglossus semilaevis (tongue sole), 4771 nucleotides. It is a transcript of the gene named leucine-rich repeats and guanylate kinase domain containing, with no coding region annotated. Lineage: Eukaryota; Metazoa; Chordata; Actinopteri; Pleuronectiformes; Cynoglossidae. The transcript has 15 exons. The record is from RefSeq and is a predicted model, not a curated record.